Molecule: ribosomal RNA, 551 nt
Filed under: Candidatus Latescibacteria bacterium 4484_7
Lineage: Bacteria; Pseudomonadati; Candidatus Latescibacterota
Description: bacterial SSU rRNA
Rfam family: Bacterial small subunit ribosomal RNA
Source: RNAcentral
GGAGAGUUUGAUCCUGGCUCAGAAUGAACGCUGGCGGCGUGGAUUAGGCAUGCAAGUCGAACGCGAAAGCGGGUAUUUAUAUCCGCGAGUAGAGUGAUAACAAUCCUAACGGAUUGCUAAUACCGCAUAACAUUACUGAGUGCAUGCUCAGUAAUCAAAGGUGGCCUCUGCUUGCAAGCUGUCGCUUGAGGAUGGUCCCGCGUCCCAUUAGCUUGUUGGUAGGGUAACGGCCUACCAAGGCGACGAUGGGUAGCCGGCCUGAGAGGGUGACCGGCCACACUGGGACCAGCAGUCGAGAGGCUUCGGCAAUGGGGGAAACCCUGACCGAGCGACGCCGCGUGGGUGAUGAAGUCCUUCGGGACGUAAAGCCCUGUCAUACGGGAUGAAAGGCCGAUUGGUGAAUAGCCUUUUGGUUUGACAGUACCGUAAGAGGAAGCUCCGGCUAACUCCGUGCCAGCAGCCGCGGUAAUACGGGGGGAGCGAGCGUUAUUCGGAUUCACUGGGCGUAAAGGGUUCGUAGGCGGUCAGGUAAGUCAGGGGUGAAAUCCAAC